GCCUAAUCGCACUCUGCAUCGCCUAACAGCAUUUCCUAUGUGCUGUUAACGCGAUUCAACCUUAAUAGGAUAUGCUAGACACUGCCGUUUGAAGUCUGUUUAGAAGAAACUUAAUCAAGCUAGCAUCAUGUUGGUUGUUUAUCACUUUUCAUGAUGCGAAACUUUUCGAUAAACUACACACGUAGAAAGAUGUGUAUCAGGACCUCUGGACGCGGGUUCAAAUCCCGCCGUCUCCAUAU
This 239-nucleotide transfer-messenger RNA is filed under the name Staphylococcus aureus. RNAcentral's name for it is "partial transfer-messenger RNA". It matches the Rfam family "transfer-messenger RNA", at positions 123 to 374 of the family's 374-position model. Rfam says of the family: Bacterial tmRNA, also known as 10Sa RNA or SsrA, is named for its dual tRNA and mRNA-like properties. Its role is to liberate the mRNA from a stalled ribosome. Lineage: Bacteria; Bacillati; Bacillota; Bacilli; Caryophanales; Staphylococcaceae. The record is from RNAcentral.